CCUACGGGAGGUAGCAGUGAGGAAUAUUGGUCAAUGGGCGGAAGCCUGAACCAGCCAAGUAGCGUGCGGGAUGAAGGCCCUACGAGUCGUAAACCGCUUUUGCACGGGGAUAACACCCUCCACUUGUGGAGGUCUGCAGGUACCGUGCGUAUAAGGGCCGGCUAAUUCCGUGCCAGCAGCCGAGGUAAUACGGAAGGCCCGAGUGUUAUCCGGAUUCAUUGGGCUUAACGGGAGCGUAGGCGGGCGUUCAAGUCAGCUGUAAAAUCGCGCGGCUCAACCGCGCCCCGCAGUUGAAACUGGACGCAUUGAGUGCACAACAGGCAGGCGGAAUUCGUGGUGUAGCGGUGAAAUGCAUAGAUAUCACGAGGAACCCCAAUUGCGAAGGCAGCCUGCCGGGGUGCGACUGACGCUGAGGCUCGAAGGUGCGGGUAGCAAACAGGAUUAGAUACCCGAGUAGUC
Molecule: ribosomal RNA, 459 nt
Filed under: uncultured bacterium
Lineage: Bacteria
Description: partial 16S ribosomal RNA
Rfam family: Bacterial small subunit ribosomal RNA
Source: RNAcentral